UACGAAGGGGGCUAGCGUUGCUCGGAAUCACUGGGCGUAAAGCGCACGUAGGCGGCUUUUUAAGUCAGAGGUGAAAUCCUGGAGCUCAACUCCAGAACUGCCUUUGAUACUGGAGAGCUUGAGUCCGGGAGAGGUGAGUGGAACUGCGAGUGUAGAGGUGAAAUUCGUAGAUAUUCGCAAGAACACCAGUGGCGAAGGCGGCUCACUGGCCCGGUACUGACGCUGAGGUGCGGAAAGCGUGGGGAGCAAACAGGGAUUAAGAAACCC
This 267-nucleotide ribosomal RNA is filed under the name uncultured bacterium. RNAcentral's name for it is "partial 16S ribosomal RNA". It matches the Rfam family "Bacterial small subunit ribosomal RNA", at positions 524 to 787 of the family's 1533-position model. The record is from RNAcentral.